Non-coding RNA from Sarcophilus harrisii (Tasmanian devil), 461 nucleotides. The record is from the annotation of a RefSeq genome assembly. NCBI's taxonomy places the organism in Eukaryota, Metazoa, Chordata, Mammalia, Dasyuromorphia, Dasyuridae.
GGGAGUACCAGAGUUGUUCUUACAUAGCACCAGGCCAAACUCAGAGUUGUGAAGGCAGAAAUUCAAUCCAUUCUGCUGGACUUCACCCCACUAUGACCAAUAGACUCUUUUGCUGGGUCUCCAUUUUUCUCUUUGGAGCAGCUCUUGCUGAAACAGAAAUCAUUCAGACACCGAGAUACCUGGUCACAAGGGUGAAGCAGGAGGUGAAGCUGACAUGUCAACAAAAUAUGGGGCAUCCUACCAUGUACUGGUACCAACAGGAACCACAGAAAGGAUUCAGGGCAAUGUUUUAUUAUACUUAUAAGGACAUGAAUUUAAAUGAGACCGUUCCUCCAAGAUUCAAACCUGCAUCAUCAGGGAAUGGUCACUUGACCCUCAAAAUUCACCCUGUGGAAGCAGAGGACUCAGCCACCUACUUCUGUAGCAGCAGCAAAGACACAGCCUUACAGAGUCAUCUCUAA